UACGUAGGGGGCUAGCGUUGUCCGGAUUUAUUGGGCGUAAAGAGUUCGUAGGCGGCUCGGUAAGUGAGGUUUGAAAACUCCAGGCUCAACCUGGAGACGCCACCUCAUACUGCUGUGGCUAGAGUCCGGUAGGGGAGCAUGGAAUUCCUGGUGUAGCGGUGAAAUGCGCAGAUAUCAGGAGGAACACCAGUGGCGAAGGCGGUGCUCUGGGCCGGAACUGACGCUGAGGAGCGAAAGCGUGGGGAGCAAACAGG
RNAcentral lists this ribosomal RNA (254 nucleotides) under uncultured bacterium. RNAcentral's name for it is "partial 16S ribosomal RNA". It matches the Rfam family "Bacterial small subunit ribosomal RNA", at positions 524 to 776 of the family's 1533-position model. The record is from RNAcentral.